AGCCCAGUCUGUCAAUUUUAUGUGGUUCACCUUGUGUUUGUUCCUCCCGUGUCUGACUUUGGACUGUUUAUACUGCGUGUGAUUCUCUGCUGCCUGCCCGACCUCUGCCUGGUAUUGUUGCUGUUUCUGGAUAUCCCUUGACACACUUGAUGCUGUUCCUGAUUUCUGCCUGUCUGGCCAUUCUUUAAUAAACUACUGCAUAUGGAUCCGAACAUCUCUGACUCUGCAUUACACCCAGUUAUGUGUCGAGAUGUAACAGGUAGUAUAGUCAUAAACAACUGAAUUUUAGUAUUUACUGAGUUUAUUAAUGUCUAAUUUUGCUCGUCUACACAACUCAUCCAGGCAAAAUAGCCCCAGUUGGCUGUCUAGGCAAAGCAGGUAAAAUGUUCACAAAUUAUUGAAGUGUGCUAUAUUUAUUUUCCAUUGUCUAAUUUUAACUUUUUCCACAAUUUAUCUGACCAGAGCAGCCCCCAUUUGGCUCUCCAGUCAAAGCAGGUAGUACAUCCACAAAUGGUUUGCUCUACUAUUUAUUUUUUGUAUUUUAUGUAUUUAUUAAUUUUUCAUUGUCUAAUUUUAUACACAAUUCGUCCAGGCCAAACAGCCCCCGUUUGAGUAUCCAGGCAAAGCAGGUACUACAUUCACAAAUAACCAAAGUGUGCUAUAUUUAGCAAGUUUCCUUUUUGUGUAAUUUUACUCUUCUACACGAUUCAUCAAUGCCAAGCAGCCCCAUUUAGUUGUCCAGACACCGCAGACCCAAUUUGGCUCUCCAGACAAAGCAGGUAAUGCAUCCACUAAAAACUAAACUGUCAUUUACUUGCGGAGUUUCCCUCUGUUUAGUCUUAGUAAUUUGCACAAUUCAGCUAGGCUCAGCAAUACCAUUUCACCAAUCCCACACUCUUCAGAAGAAAGGUUCCAUUGUGUUCAAAGUCGUGUCCUCUGCAGACCUUCCUUGACAUUCUAAACUUACUCCAGUUUACUAAAGCGAUGGAAGGCAAACCAAAAAACACUGUCCCCCAGUCAGUAGUUGUCUACAUCCACAACUAAACUGAUACAAGGAUCAAAACAGCCAUACUUUGAAGCAGAAAUGAACACUUCGUACCAGGGAGUGAAUGUCAAGGCAAAGGUUCUACAGAAGAGUCAAGGACACAACUUUGUUCAAGAUUUCUCCUUAAUACCACCCAGAUAGCAAGCACAGCACAGAGUGUCGGCACAAUCGGUUGGAGUCCGGGUCGGCUGAAAUACUGUCUCACGUGGUCUGGCAUCUUUUAGUCGGACUAAGUGCAUUAAUAGUAUCUGGCCCUAUUAUGGCUUAAGGAUACGUCCCAGUGCAUCUAUGAGAUGUUUCUUGCAUAGUAUGGUGAAAUACUUGAUUGUUUUCUGAAUUGUUUAAUUUCAUCUGUGUGUGCAUUAAUAAUUAAUAAAUAAAUUAAGGUGUUCAUGUUAAGAUUCACUUUCACAGGUAAUUGAUGUUCAGAACUCAUUAAUAAAUGGUUCACAGGUGUUCACAUUACAUUAAGGUUCACA
Long non-coding RNA from Cyprinus carpio (common carp), 1524 nucleotides. RefSeq lists it as uncharacterized. The transcript has 3 exons. NCBI's taxonomy places the organism in Eukaryota, Metazoa, Chordata, Actinopteri, Cypriniformes, Cyprinidae. The record is from RefSeq and is a predicted model, not a curated record.